This 708-nucleotide ribosomal RNA is filed under the name Proteus mirabilis. RNAcentral describes it as "partial 23S ribosomal RNA". It matches the Rfam family "Bacterial large subunit ribosomal RNA", at positions 1917 to 2624 of the family's 2925-position model. Lineage: Bacteria; Pseudomonadati; Pseudomonadota; Gammaproteobacteria; Enterobacterales; Morganellaceae. The record is from RNAcentral.
GCCCCAGUAAACGGCGGCCGUAACUAUAACGGUCCUAAGGUAGCGAAAUUCCUUGUCGGGUAAGUUCCGACCUGCACGAAUGGCGUAAUGAUGGCCAGGCUGUCUCCACCCGAGACUCAGUGAAAUUGAACUCGCUGUGAAGAUGCAGUGUACCCGCGGCAAGACGGAAAGACCCCGUGAACCUUUACUAUAGCUUGACACUGAACAUUGAGCCUUGAUGUGUAGGAUAGGUGGGAGGCUUUGAAGUGUGGACGCCAGUCUGCAUGGAGCCAACCUUGAAAUACCACCCUUUAACGUUUGAUGUUCUAACCUAGGCCCAUAAACUGGGUCGGGGACCGUGUCUGGUGGGUAGUUUGACUGGGGCGGUCUCCUCCUAAAGAGUAACGGAGGAGCACGAAGGUUGGCUAAGCAUGGUCGGACAUCAUGCGGUUAGUGCAAAGGCAUAAGCCAGCUUGACUGCGAGAGUGACGGCUCGAGCAGGUACGAAAGUAGGUCUUAGUGAUCCGGUGGUUCUGAAUGGAAGGGCCAUCGCUCAACGGAUAAAAGGUACUCCGGGGAUAACAGGCUGAUACCGCCCAAGAGUUCAUAUCGACGGCGGUGUUUGGCACCUCGAUGUCGGCUCAUCACAUCCUGGGGCUGAAGUAGGUCCCAAGGGUAUGGCUGUUCGCCAUUUAAAGUGGUACGCGAGCUGGGUUUAGAACGUCGUGA